AACCUAAGAUUUUGUAAAAAAUGUAGACUUGGACCAGUUGGCUACCAUUAACAGCACUGAUUAACUUUUGACAACAUGUUAGGUGAAUUUAAACAGGGAGUGUCUGGUUAUUUGUAUGUGAAAUGUCGAAACACAGAAUGCGGUCAUGUGAAAAACACACAGACUCUAGUAGAUUGAAGACCUGUGAAAGUUGGAAUGCCAUGGUUCGUUGUCAACACAAAAUUAGGAACAGCAAUGAUUGAUAGUGUAGGUGGGCCGGUGAGGGUCAACAAUUUGUUGUCAACACUAAAUAUACCAACAAUUGGAAAUAAAAACAUGAAAAGAAAUGGAGAGACGUGUUGGAAAUAUCAUUGAGACAGCACUGGCUUCUAUGCCGACAGAAUCUGCUGCAUAAGAUCAAGGAAAUGGAGGAUGUGCAUCAUGAAGAAUCAAUGGUAUCAGAACACAACAUCAUGGAAGAUCUUAUUGACAAGAUCUCGGAGGAUGUCCUUUGCCAGAUGUUUGCCAGCACUAAAGUCUAUUCAUCAGUCAAAUGCUACAGUUACAAAUGACAGUGAAUGGUCAGAUUUAUACAAUUGUGAUUAACAAUCCUCAACAAUACAUCAAACAAAAAUGCCUAUUAAACUGUAAGUUGAAAUCUA
Ruditapes philippinarum (Manila clam) is the source of this 641-nucleotide long non-coding RNA. RefSeq lists it as uncharacterized. The record is from RefSeq and is a predicted model, not a curated record. Lineage: Eukaryota; Metazoa; Mollusca; Bivalvia; Venerida; Veneridae. The transcript is spliced from 4 exons.